CAUUUCAUAUCAAUCUUCUCUUCAUUUCCUUUCUCCCUCUUCUCUCCUUUCUCUUUCCUCCUCAGCGGCGGAACUCUUUUUUACAAUCUUCUUCUUCUUCAUUCACUGAAUCACUGUCCAAUUGAUUAACAAUAAGAUUCAAGAAUCCACUGAUGAUAACAAAGAAGAAAAUCUUAGAUCAUUUUCUUAAUCUACAGUAAAUCACGACGACAAAGAUGAGAAAACAAAUCGGAAGUGUUGCUGAUGCGGUAUUCUUUGCUGAAGAUGGUUACUCAAUUGUUGGUUUUAAGGUUACAGAUUAGGGGGUUUGUUUUGUUGGAUUUAGGGUUACAGAUUAGGGGUUUGUUUUGUUAGAUUUAGGGUUACAGAUUAAUGGUUUCUCUAUGGUGAAAACGGGGACUACUUUGGUUUGUAUGAUUUUGUAGGUGAUGCCCAAGUUCUUGAAAGGUUUGGAAGCUCGGGAUCAAGGUUACUUGUUCUCAAGAGACUGAAUCACAUUAUUGAAAGCCUAGUAGUAUGACAGAAGAAAGUUGCUCAAGAAGCCACUAUAACCUCAGCUGCAGGAGAAAGUAUUAUUGAGCUUAAGGUCAAGACCUUGGGUUCACAGAUCUGUAAACUCCGUGUUGAAAAAAAAUGUGUUGAUGAGCUAAAAAAUAUACAGAGAAAGAACUGAUAGACGCCAGGUGUAAACUUGUCCUUUGUUGAUGAGCUAAAAAGCAUUUCUGUGGCUUUAUGUCGGGUGUAAACUUGAAACGAGUGUGUUGUUGCGGCUUAGGAAAUUAAUAUUUAAACAAAUCAGUUCUUGGUAAAGCAACAUAACUGCAGUGCAAGGUUUAGAAGCAACAGAACUGCAGCAUGUACUCUGUGCAGGUUAGUGUCCAAGCAUCGAAAAUGCAAAUGUGUAAUACCAAAGGUAGAAGGUUACGCAGUUGGUGGAGUACAAGUAUUGGUAUUGUAGAUGGUUAUUGAAUUAACAGUAGCUGCUGCAAUGUCAUUUUUAUCCAGACAGGCCCAUAUGUACUUACUUUCCAUAAUCGUCUCUGAUGUAAGAAACAUAAAAUGUGUGGAUGAAACAUGACAUGAUGCUGCAUUAUAGAUGUUACUAAUUGUCCUUAUUGAAGUUGGGCUUGUUUCUGUUUGGUUGCAGCUCACGAGUGUUUUCUUGAUCCUACACAUGGCAAAGGAUCAGAAGAUAGAUGAUGGUGGUCUUUGGAGCAGUUGCAGUAUAAAAUGUAUGUGUGGAAUAUGUAUGAAGAGGUUGGAGAACUUUAUCCAUGUUUUGAAGUUAUGGUGAGGUUAGGGAUUGUAGAUGUGAUAUGUAUGAAUUGCGGAUUGAAAGAGAAUAGAUUGCAGUUGUGUUUCAGGUUUAAUUGUACUGCAUGUUUGUAAACUAGAAAAUCCAGGUGCAUGAUGGUAGAAUCUGUGUAGCUUGCGGUUUAUUUGUAGUUCAGGCCUGUAAACUGAGAGUGCAGGUCCAUCAUCGUGACCUGUUUCGCAGGCCUGUAAACUGGAAGCCCGGAUCCAUGAAAAUCUGGGCUACCCAUUUUUUUUUAA
Papaver somniferum (opium poppy) is the source of this 1554-nucleotide long non-coding RNA. RefSeq lists it as uncharacterized. Lineage: Eukaryota; Viridiplantae; Streptophyta; Magnoliopsida; Ranunculales; Papaveraceae. The record is from RefSeq and is a predicted model, not a curated record. The transcript has 9 exons.